Orussus abietinus is the source of this 1317-nucleotide RNA transcript. It is a transcript of the gene named N-alpha-acetyltransferase 40, with no coding region annotated. The transcript is spliced from 4 exons. NCBI's taxonomy places the organism in Eukaryota, Metazoa, Arthropoda, Insecta, Hymenoptera, Orussidae. The record is from RefSeq and is a predicted model, not a curated record.
CCGCGUCUUUGAUCGAAACGUAAACAAAUGUCCAAGGUGGUUUGAAACCAUUCGUGAAGUUUAAAAAUUCUGUAAAUGAAAACAUCGAAUUCCACCUUUUAAACCACCAUGAAGUCGUUGAAACAUUCUAAGCAUGCACAAAAUAAAAAAGGACACAAAACAAGACGGCAGCUUAGAGCACAGGAAGCAGCAGCCGCUAAACGGCUAGUAGACGAUGCAAAUGCACAGAUAAAUCCCCUGGCAGCACUUACUUUUCAUACUUUUACAGCUAAGGACGAAUCUGUAAUGGACGUUAUAUGUAGCCGGGUAGCCGAUUUACCCGAAGAAACUCUUACUUGGAUAUUUAAUUUAAUGGAACGUAACAUGAAAGAAAUGUAUGAACAGUCGAGUUGGGGUUGGGAUCUGGUUUCAAAAAAGCAGGAAUUAACUGAACCAGCAGCUUGGUAUUUGGUUGCUUCUUCUAAAGAUGAACUUUUAGGAUUUUCUCAUUUUCGAUUCGAUAUCGAUCACGGAGUGGAGGUGUUGUAUUGCUAUGAAUUGCAAUUGGAACCCAUAGCAAGGCGUAAAGGACUUGGCCAGUUUUUAAUGCAAACCUUAGAAUCAAUGGCAUGCCACAGUCAAAUGCAAAAAGUUGUACUAACUGUGCUUAAACACAACGUUACAGCUAUUCCUUUUUUUCACACACUAGGGUAUGUACUACUAUUAUUUUUAUUAACCAUUACCCACAUUCAUUGUCAACAGUACCACCUAAGUCUUAAAUAUAAUUUGUCUUGUAUGAAAAAUUUAUUAACAAUCUGUUAAAUGUAUAAAUCAACCGACACAUUUAGGUAAUAUUGUUACAGCUACAAACUGGACAACACGAGCCCACCUGCCUCUGAGAAAGUGGACUAUGCCAUCCUGAGUAAAUAUGUGUGAAAUAAAUUGCAGUCAUUGUGACGGAAUAAUACAUAUUUUGCAGAAAGGUACGUCUGACCCUUUUGUACUUUUUAACAAACGUGUUCUAAAAAUUCGAGCAUUGAUUCUCGCCUUUUCUCGAGUUUCUGCAAAUGUUCAAUGUUUAGCUUUUUCCUGUUUGUGGAAUGAUCUUAACUUUUUCCUCUGCCGCAUCGAAUUUAAAAAUCAGUACACGAGGGAAUGCAUUAAUGGACGAAUAAUGGAGACACAUACGAGACACUGCUAUAUGUGAAGAAAUCAGAGGAGACACGAGAAUUACAGUCCAACGAUUGGAACGUGUUGAUAAAAAGUACAGCCGGUCAGCUGUUGCCUCGUUGAAAAAUAUGUAAUCCUGAGUGAACGGUGACACCACCUGCCACCGAU